GAACUGCGAUAAGUAAUGUGAAUUGCAGAAUUCAGUGAAUCAUCGAGUCUUUGAACGCACAUUGCGCCCCCUGGCAUUCCGGGGGGCAUGCCUGUCCGAGCGUCAUUGCUGCCCUUCAAGCCCGGCUUGUGUGUUGGGUCGUCGUCCCCUCCGGGGGACGGGCCCGAAAGGCAGCGGCGGCACCGCGUCCGGUCCUCGAGCGUAUGGGGCUUUGUCACCCGCUCGAUAAGGACCGGCCGGGCGCCAGCCGGCGUCUCAAACCUUUUUUUCUCAGGUUGACCUCGGAUCAGGUAGGGAUACCCGCUGAACUUAAGC
RNAcentral lists this unclassified non-coding RNA (315 nucleotides) under plant metagenome. Its description in RNAcentral is "partial contains 5.8S ribosomal RNA, internal transcribed spacer 2, and large subunit ribosomal RNA". The stretch from base 1 to 105 matches the Rfam family "5.8S ribosomal RNA", at positions 50 to 154 of the family's 154-position model. The record is from RNAcentral.